GACUUCCUACGGGGGGCAGCAGUGGGGAAUAUUGCACAAUGGGCGCAAGCCUGAUGCAGCGACGCCGCGUGAGCGAAGAAGUAUUUCGGUAUGUAAAGCUCUAUCAGCAGGGAAGAUAAUGACGGUACCUGACUAAGAAGCCCCGGCUAACUACGUGCCAGCAGCCGCGGUAAUACGUAGGGGGCAAGCGUUAUCCGGAUUUACUGGGUGUAAAGGGUGCGUAGGUGGCAGGGCAAGUCAGAUGUGAAAGCCCGGGGCCCAACCCCGGUACUGCAUUUGAAACUGUCCGGCUGGAGUGCAGGAAG
RNAcentral lists this ribosomal RNA (305 nucleotides) under uncultured bacterium. RNAcentral's name for it is "bacterial SSU rRNA". It matches the Rfam family "Bacterial small subunit ribosomal RNA", at positions 333 to 655 of the family's 1533-position model. The record is from RNAcentral.